UUCUGGUUGAUCCUGCCGGAGGCUACCGCUAUUGGAGUUCGAUUAAGCCAUGCGAGUCGAGAGUCUUAGGGACUCGGCGUACCGCUCAGUAACACGUGGGUAACCUGCCCUAUGCUGGGGAAUAACCUCGGGAAACUGAGAAUAAUACCCCAUAGUUCACCACGCCUGGAACGGUGGGUGGAUGAAAGCUCCGGCGGCAUAGGAUGGGCCUGCGACGUAUCAGGUUGUAGGGGGUGUAACGUACCCUCUAGCCAUCAACGCGUACGGGUGUUGGGAGACAUAGCCCGGAGAUGGAUUCUGAGACACGAAUCCAGACCCUACGGGGUGCAGCAGGCGCGAAAACUUGGCAAUGCGAGCAAUCGUGACCAGGGAACUCCAAGUGGCUGGGGUAAUACCCAGUUUUUUCUUGACUCUUCAAAGGUCUUGGAAUAAGGGGUGGGUAAGGACGGUGCCAGCCGCCGCGGUAAUACCGGCGCCUCAAGUGGUAGUCGCUUUUAUUGGGCCUAAAACGUCCGUAGCCGGUCUGGUGCAUUCGUGGGUAAAUCAACCCGCUCAACGGGUUGAAUUCUGCGAGCACGGCCAGACUUGGGACCGGGAGAGGUGUGGGGUACUCUCAGGGUAGGGGUAAAAUCCUGUCAUCCUGAGAGGACCACCUGUUGCGAAGGCGCCACACUAGAACGGAUUCGACGGUCAGGGACGAAACCUAGGGGCACGAACCGGAUUAGAUACCCGGGUAGUC
This 739-nucleotide ribosomal RNA is filed under the name uncultured Candidatus Poseidoniales archaeon. RNAcentral describes it as "bacterial SSU rRNA". It matches the Rfam family "Archaeal small subunit ribosomal RNA", at positions 1 to 746 of the family's 1478-position model. Lineage: Archaea; Methanobacteriati; Thermoplasmatota; Candidatus Poseidoniia; Candidatus Poseidoniales. The record is from RNAcentral.